This 433-nucleotide ribosomal RNA is filed under the name uncultured bacterium. RNAcentral describes it as "partial 16S ribosomal RNA". It matches the Rfam family "Bacterial small subunit ribosomal RNA", at positions 29 to 507 of the family's 1533-position model. The record is from RNAcentral.
AACGAACGCUGUCGGCAUGCCUAACACAUGCAAGUCGAACGAACCCUUCGGGGUUAGUGGCGCACGGGUGCGUAACGCGUGGGAAUCUGCCCUUUGCUUCGGAAUAACUCAGGGAAACUUGUGCUAAUACCGGAUGAUGUCUUCGGACCAAAGAUUUAUCGGCAAGGGAUGAGCCCGCGUAGGAUUAGGUAGUUGGUGGGGUAAAGGCCUACCAAGCCGACGAUCCUUAGCUGGUCUGAGAGGAUGAUCAGCCACACUGGGACUGAGACACGGCCCAGACUCCUACGGGAGGCAGCAGUGGGGAAUAUUGGACAAUGGGCGCAAGCCUGAUCCAGCAAUGCCGCGUGAGUGAUGAAGGCCCUCGGGUCGUAAAGCUCUUUUACCAGGGAUGAUAAUGACAGUACCUGGAGAAUAAGCUCCGGCUAACUCCGUG